GAUGAACGCUGGCGGCGUGCCUAAUACAUGCAAGUAGAACGCUGAAGGAAGGAGCUUGCUCUUUCCGGAUGAGUUGCGAACGGGUGAGUAACGCGUAGGUAACCUGCCUGGUAGCGGGGGAUAACUAUUGGAAACGAUAGCUAAUACCGCAUAACAGUAGAUAUUGCAUGAUAUCUGCUUGAAAGGGGCAAUUGCUCCACUACCAGAUGGACCUGCGUUGUAUUAGCUAGUUGGUGAGGUAACGGCUCACCAAGGCGACGAUACAUAGCCGACCUGAGAGGGUGAUCGGCCACACUGGGACUGAGACACGGCCCAGACUCCUACGGGAGGCAGCAGUAGGGAAUCUUCGGCAAUGGACGGAAGUCUGACCGAGCAACGCCGCGUGAGUGAAGAAGGUUUUCGGAUCGUAAAGCUCUGUUGUAAGAGAG
RNAcentral lists this ribosomal RNA (428 nucleotides) under Streptococcus australis. RNAcentral's name for it is "bacterial SSU rRNA". It matches the Rfam family "Bacterial small subunit ribosomal RNA", at positions 28 to 446 of the family's 1533-position model. The record is from RNAcentral. Lineage: Bacteria; Bacillati; Bacillota; Bacilli; Lactobacillales; Streptococcaceae.